Molecule: ribosomal RNA, 457 nt
Filed under: Citrobacter werkmanii
Lineage: Bacteria; Pseudomonadati; Pseudomonadota; Gammaproteobacteria; Enterobacterales; Enterobacteriaceae
Description: bacterial SSU rRNA
Rfam family: Bacterial small subunit ribosomal RNA
Source: RNAcentral
AAAUUGAAGAGUUUGAUCAUGGCUCAGAUUGAACGCUGGCGGCAGGCCUAACACAUGCAAGUCGAACGGUAGCACAGAGAGCUUGCUCUCGGGUGACGAGUGGCGGACGGGUGAGUAAUGUCUGGGAAACUGCCCGAUGGAGGGGGAUAACUACUGGAAACGGUAGCUAAUACCGCAUAAUGUCGCAAGACCAAAGAGGGGGACCUUCGGGCCUCUUGCCAUCGGAUGUGCCCAGAUGGGAUUAGCUUGUAGGUGGGGUAACGGCUCACCUAGGCGACGAUCCCUAGCUGGUCUGAGAGGAUGACCAGCCACACUGGAACUGAGACACGGUCCAGACUCCUACGGGAGGCAGCAGUGGGGAAUAUUGCACAAUGGGCGCAAGCCUGAUGCAGCCAUGCCGCGUGUAUGAAGAAGGCCUUCGGGUUGUAAAGUACUUUCAGCGAGGAGGAAGGUGUUG